UCCCAACUAAAAAGACAAGUUCUUUUCCACCGCUGCCGCCACCAUAACGUCCUCCUGAUCGGCACGACACGUAGUCGUCGCGGCUAAUGGCGAUCACAGCGUACCUGAGAAGCGUGGAAACAAACGUUUACAAGCAACAGGGUCUACCAAGCAGAGUAAAGAAAAGCACAGUUGAGUCGUGGGAAAACAGGCUUUGUCGAGCAUCUAUUUUAUGCCAACACAUAAAUACAUGUUUGGGCCUCCGCUGGCAGGUCAUUGUGAGGCUUUUCCUCACCACAGCGAGGCGCUCUAAAGCAACCACGUGGGGAUGUGGCUAUGGGGUUGCCCACCCAGAGAUAAGCCGUGCCCACCCAGCGGAAUCAUCUGCCCGUCCAAUGAAGAAUCACGUUAUUUACAUUUUUGGUGUAUUCAUAGCUUUCUGUCAUUGGGCAUCAAAAAAUGCACUGCUUACUAAUCGACCAUUUGGAAGGUGUUGGCGUUUUUUGUGCCGCUCUUUUACAUCAGCAAACAACGACGACACUUACAUAAUGUGGUACAGACGCGGUCAAAUGAACAGCUUCUUGUUUUUAUUUUGUCUCGUCUACUUGUAUGUUUAUCGUGUACUGUGUCUCGUCAGCGUGGGAUGGAGGAAACGGAAUUUGGGUUUCUUUGUGUGUCUUGACAUAUGAAGGGAUUGACAAUAAAGCUGACUUUGACUUUGA
Syngnathus typhle (broad-nosed pipefish) is the source of this 701-nucleotide long non-coding RNA. RefSeq lists it as uncharacterized. The transcript has 2 exons. Lineage: Eukaryota; Metazoa; Chordata; Actinopteri; Syngnathiformes; Syngnathidae. The record is from RefSeq and is a predicted model, not a curated record.